GACGAACGCUGGCGGCGUGCCUAAUACAUGCAAGUAGAACGCUUAAGGAGGAGCUUGCUCUUCUGUAUGAGUUGCGCACGUGUGAGUAACGCGUAGGUAACCUGCCUGGUAGCGGGGGAUAACUAUUGGAAACGAUAGCUACUACCGCAUAACAGUAGAUGUUGCAUGACAUUUACUUAACAGGUGCAUUUGCAUCACUACUAGAUGGACCUGCGUUGUAUUAGCUAGUUGGUGGGGUAACGGCUCACCAAGGCGACGAUACAUAGACGAACUGGGAGGGUGAACGGCCAAAAUGGGACUGGGACACGGGCCAGACUCCUACGGGAGGCAGCAGGAGGGAAUCUUCGGCAAUGGACGGAAGGCUGACCGAGCAACGCCGGGGGAGUGAAGAAGGGUUUCGGAUCGGAAAGCUCUGUUGUAAGGGAAGAAAGAGUGUGAGAGUGGAAAGUUCACACUGUGACGGUAUCUUACCAGAAAGGAACGGCUAACUACGUG
Molecule: ribosomal RNA, 495 nt
Filed under: uncultured bacterium
Lineage: Bacteria
Description: partial 16S ribosomal RNA
Rfam family: Bacterial small subunit ribosomal RNA
Source: RNAcentral